GACGAACGCUGGCGGCGUGCUUAACACAUGCAAGUCGAACGGAAAGGCCCCUUUGGGGGUACUCGCGUGGCGAACGGGUGAGUAACACGUGAGUAACCUGCCCUUGACUUCGGGAUAACUUCCUGAAACUGGGGCUAAUACCGGCUAGGAAUCCUUGCUGCAUGGUGGGGGUUGGAAAGCUUCUGCGGUUUUGGAUGGACUCGCGGCUUAUCAGCUUGUUGGUGGGGGAGUGGCUUACCAAGGCUUUGACGGGUAGCCGGCCGGAGAGGGCGACCGGCCACAUUGGGACUGGGAUACGGCCCAGACUCCUACGGGAGGCAGCAGUGGGGAAUAUUGCACAAAGGGCGGAAGCCUGAUGCAGCAACGCCGCGGGCGGGAUGACGGCCUUCGGGUUGGAAACCGCGUUCAGCAGGGGCGAAGCUUGUGGUGACGGUACCUGCAGAAGAAGCACCGGCUAACUACGUG
This 465-nucleotide ribosomal RNA is filed under the name uncultured bacterium. RNAcentral describes it as "partial 16S ribosomal RNA". It matches the Rfam family "Bacterial small subunit ribosomal RNA", at positions 28 to 507 of the family's 1533-position model. The record is from RNAcentral.